GUGAGGAAUUUUCCGCAAUGGGCGAAAGCCUGACGCAGCCAUGCCGCGUGAAUGAUGAAGGUCUUAGGAUUGUAAAAUUCUUUCACCGGGGACGAUAAUGACGGUACCCGGAGAAGAAGCCCCGGCUAACUUCGUGCCAGCAGCCGCGGUAAUACGAAGGGGGCUAGCGUUGCUCGGAAUUACUGGGCGUAAAGGGCGCGUAGGCGGACAGUUUAGUCAGAGGUGAAAGCCCAGGGCUCAGCCUUGGAAUUGCCUUUGAUACUGGCUGUUUUGAGUACGGGAGAGGUGAGUGGAACUCCGAGUGUAGAGGUGAAAUUCGUAGAUAGUCGGAAGAACACCAGUGGCGAAGGCGACUCACUGGCCCGUUACUGACGCUGAGGCGCGAAAGCGUGGGGAGCAAACAGGAUUAGAAACCCCUGUAGUCC
RNAcentral lists this ribosomal RNA (425 nucleotides) under uncultured bacterium. RNAcentral describes it as "partial 16S ribosomal RNA". It matches the Rfam family "Bacterial small subunit ribosomal RNA", at positions 354 to 796 of the family's 1533-position model. The record is from RNAcentral.